RNAcentral lists this long non-coding RNA (884 nucleotides) under Mus musculus (house mouse). RNAcentral describes it as "long non-coding RNA chr19:43940036-43940920". The record is from RNAcentral. Lineage: Eukaryota; Metazoa; Chordata; Mammalia; Rodentia; Muridae.
AAGCCCCGCGCGCCCCGCAGGCGACCGUCCCCGCUACCCCACCACCCCGCCACCCCACGGACGCCCGGCCCCGCACCGACCUGCUCUCUGCCGCUCGGCGUUCCCUCCGCGCACAGCCACUGGUGGCCCGGCCGGGCCGCGGUCACCUCCCCUCAGCGGCGGCGGGCGGGCGGGCCGAUCCGGGUGACUCCGCGCCGCCCCGCCUCCCUUAGCGCCGCUUCCGUCCGGUGGCCCCCGGCUCCGUUUCCCGCGCUCGCGCCCCCUGGCGGCCGCCUAGCCCGUCGCUCCGCCACGUCAGGGCUCGGGCUCCCAGGGCCUUUCAGGGAAACUGAGGCACGGACUGCGUGGGGGCGUUUAGCGACACACCUCGCUCAGGCUAGGAUCCAGAUCCCCACGCACUCGCGCUACCGCCAACCUAGAGAACUCAAAUUCUCCGCUGCGCGAAUUCUCUUACUCCGAGGCGGAGGCUAGCCUUGAACCUUCCAUCGUCCUUCACUCCUCCAAGUGCUGGAUUACAGGGGAACACCAUCAGGUUACUGCCCACUCCUCAUCGAUUUUUUUUUCUUUUCUCCCGAGCAAAGUCUCACAGGACAAUUUUGAGAAUUUAAAAGCAAGGAAUCACAGAAUACUAGAACCAAACGUCCCGGUUUCUGAAAAGUCCCGGAAGACUUCUGACUGUUAAAGAUCGCAAGUGCGUGGAGGAGCUGGUGCAAGCGCGGGGACCGACCUAGCAGAUUUGAGGAAUGCAGGAAUCAUAUAUCACUAUGCACACACAGCAGAGAUAAGGCUUUAUUUUAAAAUCUCAUCAGCUAGAUUGUUUCUUGACUCUUCAAAAAUCGUAGUAAACUAGACAUAGCAUAAAGUGUAUCGUUUGAACCAUUGUC